RNAcentral lists this long non-coding RNA (331 nucleotides) under Elaeis guineensis (African oil palm). RNAcentral's name for it is "long non-coding RNA (EGUI_LNC005065)". The record is from RNAcentral. Lineage: Eukaryota; Viridiplantae; Streptophyta; Magnoliopsida; Arecales; Arecaceae.
CUGAAUUGUUAUGAGAGCCUUUUAGCUCUCGAGGUGGUCAAUCAGGUCGGUAGAACAAUCAUAUAGCGCCACUUGCGGCAUCUUGAAUCGAGAUAGAAUCGAUUCGUCCAAGAUGUGCCGAGAGAGAGGCUGGGCGGUGUGAAAGUGGUAGUCGUUGGAGGACUUCUGACCUUCCACCUGAAGUUGGACGAGUCGGUGGUUGAUUUCUUGGAGCUUGCACUCAUAUUCAUCAAACCGAUGCUGUUGAGAAACUCCAGGGGUAGAACCCCUCGACGAGCUUGAAGGAGAAGCAGAAGGUGUCCGCGGCCGUUUUUCUUUCCUAAUGUGGUCG